Molecule: transfer RNA, 68 nt
Filed under: Phrynosoma platyrhinos (Desert horned lizard)
Lineage: Eukaryota; Metazoa; Chordata; Lepidosauria; Squamata; Phrynosomatidae
Description: tRNA-OTHER
Source: RNAcentral
AGCUGGUGUAAUGGUUUGAACAAUGGACUAUGACUCUGGAGACCAGGGUUCAAAUCCCUGCUCAGCUA